Molecule: microRNA precursor, 123 nt
Filed under: Bombyx mori (domestic silkworm)
Lineage: Eukaryota; Metazoa; Arthropoda; Insecta; Lepidoptera; Bombycidae
Description: microRNA bmo-mir-3335 precursor
Source: miRBase by way of RNAcentral
AAGUCGUCGAAUUAUAUGAGCCGUGUCCGUACCGCUUUCAGGUUGGUUACAAUAAGCAGUUAAUGUUUUAUAAUGUUCCAUUUAAAAGUGGUUCUUGAAUAUCCGUCUAAUAUCAACGUCGAU